AUAUCCCAUUCGAAAGAAGUAAGACCCCUUAUAGACGAUGAGGUUGAUAGGUUGGAGGUGGAAGUAUGGUGACAUACGUAGCUGACCAAUACUAAUGGUUCGAGGGUUUGACCUG
Epulopiscium sp. Nele67-Bin004 is the source of this 115-nucleotide ribosomal RNA. It matches the Rfam family "Bacterial large subunit ribosomal RNA", at positions 2809 to 2925 of the family's 2925-position model. NCBI's taxonomy places the organism in Bacteria, Bacillati, Bacillota, Clostridia, Lachnospirales, Lachnospiraceae. The record is from Rfam.